UACGUAGGUGGCAAGCGUUGUUCGGAAUUAUUGGGCGUGGAGGGCGCGUAGGCGGUUUUGUAAGUCGGCUGUGAAAGCCCGGGGCUCAACCCCGGAGGGUCGGCUGAUACUGCAAGACUAGAGUACAGAAGAGGUAACUGGAAUUCCCGGUGUAGCGGUGAAAUGCGCAGAUAUCAGGAGGAACACCGGCGGCGAAGGCGGCACUCUGGGCCGGUACUGACGCUGAGGAGCGAAAGCGUGGGUAGCAAACAGG
RNAcentral lists this ribosomal RNA (253 nucleotides) under uncultured prokaryote. Its description in RNAcentral is "partial 16S ribosomal RNA". It matches the Rfam family "Bacterial small subunit ribosomal RNA", at positions 524 to 776 of the family's 1533-position model. The record is from RNAcentral.